UACGUAGGGUGCAAGCGUUGUCCGGAAUUACUGGGCGUAAAGGGCGCGUAGGCGGGAUGGCAAGUCGGUCGUGAAAUCCCUCGGCUCAACCGAGGAACGUCGAUCGAUACUGCUGUUCUUGAGGAUUGCAGAGGAGACUGGAAUUCCCGGUGUAGCGGUGAAAUGUGUAGAGAUCGGGAGGAACACCGGUGGCGAAGGCGGGUCUCUGGGCAAUUCCUGACGCUGAGGCGCGAAAGCGUGGGGAGCAAACGGG
Molecule: ribosomal RNA, 253 nt
Filed under: uncultured bacterium
Lineage: Bacteria
Description: partial 16S ribosomal RNA
Rfam family: Bacterial small subunit ribosomal RNA
Source: RNAcentral